Molecule: long non-coding RNA, 1972 nt
Organism: Protopterus annectens (West African lungfish)
Lineage: Eukaryota; Metazoa; Chordata; Ceratodontiformes; Protopteridae
Exons: 3
Source: RefSeq, a predicted model, not a curated record
AGGGUAUAUAAUACAAACAUUGACGACUUCAAUGACAUAGACUGGGAAGAAUUCACAGACACUAUCGGAAAUGUCACCCCAGCUUAUGUUCAAGCAAAAUUUCAUGGUCUGAAGGUACAAAAUGUUCCUCACUGGCAAGAGAAGUCUUUCACAGAAAUUGUUGAUUAUUUGUACCAUGUGGUACUACCACGGUUUGAAAAUAAGUUGGAGAAAUAUAAGAGAAAAAUCGAUAGGCUCACUACUUACAGCUUUCCACAGAAGAACUCUUUCCUCCUAAAUGAAAUUUUUGAAGAUGUCAGUGAUUGUUCAGAAAACAACGAGCCAGUGCAAAACCCUGCCAGCUCUUCACAGGUGGACACAUAACCUUCGAAUUCCUGGAAGUUGCUCUCACUAGCCUCAUAUUCCAGAUUCAAGACUGUUUUAAAUUUUACUUUGGUUUCAUGAUGAAAAGCAUUUGGAAUCUAGCACUGUUGCCUUUUUAUUCUUGAGUAUUAUUGACAUUUUUCUAAGUGAAAAUAUCCUGAAUUUUGUAUGCAUGGGGUGCGUGCGCUUAUGAACAGUAAAUAGGAGUAGCGUAAUAAAAUUCUAACCUUGCCAAAGUGCAAAGCUUAGGCCGAAGUUUCACAUAGUAAUGAGCAGAAAGGACUGGUAAAUGUCAAGUAAUGGUACAUGUUAGAUAGAAAGCUGGCAUAAGAAAGAUUUGGGUAUAGUAACUGACUUCAGUCCUCUCUUUUCAGAGGCUAUUUCCUUGUUAACAUCACAUAUGCCAAAGUUGUUCCAGUUUUCCUUAAAAGUUAUCCUUUCUGCUUGUUUUACUUACAUUGUUAUUACACAUUUUUUGCCACUUUUAGAAAGCAAGAUUUUUCUGUUCCUUCAUUUGUUAAUGAGGUGUGCAUGCUAAAUGUAAGUGCCUCUUUCUACGGGUAGUUCAGAAGCACAGGUCUUGACUUUGUAAUUUAAUCGCAUUAUACAAGGGGAGAUUGAGAUGUCACUGUUUUAAGUGCCUUAUGUUUGCCUGUCUGUUACAGUCCUUAAUGUUAUUCUGCUUUGGAUAAUUUUCAGUUCCAUGGUUCCGGAAGGAAAAGAAAAGUGGAUCUUUUGAGUGAGGUUCCCAAAACUGUUGUGUGUGGCAGUUCAGCGCCUUCCUUUGAACUCCAGUCAUCUCAGCUGAGACAUUAAAGGAGGAGAAGUGCCACCUCGGUUUUGCUGCUGUUCUUGGAGUGUUAGGUUUAGUCCUUUUUGGAUUUUGAACACAGCUCACCAUAGUUAAAUAUACUGCAUUUUUUGUUUAGUUUUCAGCUUUUUUGCCCCCCCCCCCCCCCCCUGUGUGCCUGCCAUCUGACCAUCCACUACUCUCUGGGGCUGCUGCUCUAGUUCCGUUUUUUGAAUAUUCCCAGUACUAUCCCCUUGGGUCAGGACCACACACCAAUGGAAAGGGAGUGAGGAGGUAGGCAGAAUGAAUCACCUGAUACUGUCCCACAUAAAGUCCUGUUUGACAGGGGAUUGUUUGUAUGCAUGUGUCACUGUGUCACAAUUUGGCCAAGAUUGCGGUUUGCAUUUACCUCUCAGGUUCCAUCCAAAGAUGCAUUUGAAGCAUUUAUCUUGACAGCUGUCAAAUAUUGCUACAUAUGUAUUGCAAGCUUUGAUUUCUUUGACUGUUCCUAGCACCCUUGGAAAAAAAAGGCGUAGAAAAUUCAGGAUUAAAACACACACACAAGUCUGCAGUUCAUGUGGUUAGAAUGUACCAGCAGGUAUUACCAACUCUUGGGGCCCAAGUUUAUUUCCUGGUGGGAAAUGUAAGUUUUGUAAUUUAAAGCUGUGAUUUGAAGUUGCCUUGAAAAGACUGGUGCUACACUUGAAACAUCAAAUAUUCUCUUCUUUUAACUUUAAUUUGAAUUUUACACUUUCAGCAUUGCUCUCACUUUAUUCAGACCAGAAUUUGACAAGUUUAAAUAAUAAAUCUUUAUCCUAA